AUGGCUCCGUGUUCCGUGGCGGCGGCCUGCCGCAGCCUGGCCCUCUCGACGUGGCUGCUGUCCUUUUGCUUCGUCCACCUGCUGUGCCUCGAUUUUACCGUGGCCGAGCGGGAGGAAUGGUACACGGCUUUCGUCAACAUCAGCUACGUGGAGCCCGCCACCAAGACGCUGCGCAUCGACAAGUCCGAAUGCGGGCGUUACGGGGAACACUCGCCCAAGCGGGACGCCAAGGGGGUAGUAGUCCUGCCUGCCGCUCCGCACGAUCGCCAGGCCUGCGACCCCUCCACCCCGUUUGUGGUGCCAGCCCAAGCCGGUGCGUGGGUGGCUCUGAUCGCCCGCGGCAACUGCACUUACAGGGACAAAAUCCGGCACGCCGCCGAGCGCAACGCCUCGGCCGUGGUCAUUUUCAACGUGGGCUCGUCCAACGCCAACGACACCAUCACCAUGCCUCAUCCGGGCACAGGCGACGUGGUGGCCAUCAUGAUUCCGGAGCCCAAAGGUCGUGAGGUGGUGUCGCUGCUGGAGCGCAACGUGACCGUCACCAUGACUAUCACCAUCGGGACCAGGAACCUGCAGAAGUAUGUGAGCCGCACCUCGGUGGUCUUUGUGUCCAUCUCCUUCAUCGUGCUGAUGAUCAUCUCGCUGGCCUGGCUCGUCUUCUACUACAUCCAGAGGUUCCGAUACGCCAACGCGCGAGACCGCAAUCAGCGCCGCCUCGGUGACGCAGCCAAGAAGGCCAUCAGCAAGUUGCAGGUGCGCACCAUCAGGAAAGGCGACCAAGAGAUAGAGGCCGACUUUGAUAACUGCGCCGUGUGCAUCGAAGGCUACAAGGCCAACGAUGUGGUCCGUAUCUUGCCGUGCAGACAUUUGUUCCACAAGAGCUGCGUGGACCCGUGGCUCCUGGACCAUCGCACGUGUCCAAUGUGCAAGAUGAACAUCCUGAAAGCACUGGGAAUCGCUUUGAACGCAGACUGCCUGGACGACCUGCCGCUGGAUUACGACCUGGUUCCGGGCGGCGGAGCGGGGCCCCUAGCGCUGGAGGCCGUAGUCUCUGGGGCAGCCAGCGAUGGCACGCUAAGUGAGGGAGGCUCUUCUGUGGUUCUGGACCCGGGGGUACGACACAUGGGACUCCCGCAGGACUACCACGACCCGCCAGACACUCUGAGAGACAGUCCUAUGACGGCCACCACCGACACGCACACGGGUCAGCCUGCCUCUCGAUGAGUCACAGAUGCAGUAGAAGUCUAUUCUUUGUGUCUGCAUGGCUGUAUUACGCAGUACUGCCCCCCGGUGGCCAAGGUGAGCUCCAGCCCAUGGUGAGCAGCGUCUCCAUGGCGUCGCUAGUAAUCGCCGUGGAAACAGGUCUGUCAGAUGAGGAGGGAUCCGUUCAAGCAUCACACAUAGGGGAUAAGUCCUGAGAGAAAGCUAAACAAUCCAAAAAAAAAAAAUCAAAACGAGCAAAAUGGAAGGAGAACUUAUUUGCGCUUGGCCUACUCCCAACCGGCACCUCAACCACACCACGUUUUCCCCAAAAACCUGGUUACAGGAUGGAAACAGUUGACUCGUCAGCGUGUAUCCCAAUGGUGCCCGGCGUUCCAAAUCUCCAAAUUUCCUCGGAUUCACGCUGGACUUCCUGAAUCCAAAGAGAACAAAAAGCAUUGAUGAGAAAACGACUGAAAGCAAAUCCCACUCCAGUCACGAGGUCGCCAAUUUUACAUCUUGCUGAUGAACGACUGCUCGGGACUUGACAUGAAAAGAUCCAAGGAUUACGUCCUGUCAGGUUAAAACUUAAUGGAAAAGGAAGUCAUAGAGAAGAGAGAGACUGGUUGUCAUUGACUUGCCGUCAAUGUUGCAACUCAGCAAGUUUGCCCAACUCACUUGAAAUUUAGCAGUUAUUUGACUAACUUUUUUUUUUGUCAGAGAAACUUGGGACUUGCACAUGUGACUCCUCCCACUUGUGAUUGUCUGCAUCAUCUACCUUUUGUGGAAUGUUCCAGGACCUGGUCCCGCUCACUUCUCGUCCUACUCCGCAAUCUCGCCCAACGAGGUCACUGGGUGAACAUUUGUGUUGACCUUGCUCGUGUGUGCGAUUGUAGUGUUGCUUCUCCUUCCGUCCCAAAUAAGAUGGCAAGAAAUGUUGGUACGGCGAGCAAGCAACAUUUCUUCCUUAGUCCCAUCGCCGACAAUCAAUUUUUUAACAUUUUUCUCUUUCACUGUUCCCGCCGACACUAUGGGGAGAAGACAGAGAGGUGGCGCGUAACGACGAGCGCUCCAGAUUGUCAUCUAUUUUGCUAUCAGACGAGAUGUUUAUUUUUGUAAUGCCAGGAAGAUGAAAUCGACACCGCUCCCGCCCCACCCCUUCUGCUGGCGGUGUCUUGUACAUAAAGAACGGCGCCAAGUGACGGACAUCCUAAAGGUCAACAUUUUUUCCCGUGUUGAAACAUGAACUUGCACAGCUUGGAUCCAAAACAAAACUGGUGUGAAUUUUGUUUUGUGGCACGUCACGCAAUAUUUUCAGGCCAAGUUUUCUGCCAAAAUGCAUCAAGCAAGAAUCCCAGUAGCGGUUUUGCUUUUUGUUAAAUGGAUUUUUGGCACCAUCGGGUUUGUGAAGCGCCAAGAACGCUGUUUGUAUACGAGAGCAUUUCAAGUCUGACAUUUUACACUCUCUCAGUGCGUUAUUAUAAAAAUUUCACAGGCUGCAAAUUUCUUUCAAGCUUGCUGGCAAAUGCAAAGGAUUUUGUGUUGUUGUGGUCAAAGCUUACCUUGCUCCCCGUUUAUCUGAGCACUUGACCCCGGUGCCGAGCUUGUUCUCUGUAAUAUGUGACGACGACAACUCAUCGUCAUGGCUGCUUUUUCUUUAGUGAAUGCUGUUCAAAUUAAACUUCUCUGUUGUGUUGUA
Syngnathus typhle (broad-nosed pipefish) is the source of this 2899-nucleotide RNA transcript. It is a transcript of the gene named RING finger protein 150-like, with no coding region annotated. NCBI's taxonomy places the organism in Eukaryota, Metazoa, Chordata, Actinopteri, Syngnathiformes, Syngnathidae. The transcript is spliced from 6 exons. The record is from RefSeq and is a predicted model, not a curated record.